Molecule: ribosomal RNA, 508 nt
Filed under: uncultured fungus
Lineage: Eukaryota; Fungi
Description: SSU rRNA
Rfam family: Eukaryotic small subunit ribosomal RNA
Source: RNAcentral
AGCAGCCGCGGUAAUUCCAGCUCCAAUAGCGUAUAUUAAAGUUGUUGCAGUUAAAAAGCUCGUAGUUGAAUUUCGGGAUCAAUUUAUCGGUCGUGCCUAUGGUAUGAACUGGUACAAUUGGUUUCUCCCUUCUGACGAAGCAUGAUGUCAUUAAUUUGGUGUCGUGGGGAAUCAGGACUGUUACUUUGAAAAAAUUAGAGUGUUUAAAGCAAGCAUUAGCUUGAAUACAUUAGCAUGGAAUAAUGAAAUAGGACGUUUGAUCCUAUUUCGUUGGUUUCUAGGAUCGACGUAAUGAUUAAUAGGGAUAGUUGGGGGCAUUAGUAUUCAAUUGUCAGAGGUGAAAUUCUUGGAUUUAUUGAAGACUAACUACUGCGAAAGCAUUUGCCAAGGAUGUUUUCAUUAAUCAAGAACGAAAGUUAGGGGAUCGAAGACGAUCAGAUACCGUCGCAGUCUUAACCAUAAACUAUGCCGACUAGGGAUCGGAUGAUGUUAAUUUUUUAAUGACUCA